Molecule: ribosomal RNA, 520 nt
Filed under: uncultured Glomus
Lineage: Eukaryota; Fungi; Glomeromycota; Glomeromycetes; Glomerales; Glomeraceae
Description: SSU rRNA
Rfam family: Eukaryotic small subunit ribosomal RNA
Source: RNAcentral
AGCAGCCGCGGUAAUUCCAGCUCCAAUAGCGUAUAUUAAAGUUGUUGCAGUUAAAAAGCUCGUAGUUGAAUUUCGGGGUUAGUAGGUUGGUCAUGCCACUGGUAUGUACUGAUCUUACUGAUUCCUCCUUCCUGAUGAACCGUAAUGCCAUUAAUUUGGUGUUGCGGGGAGACUGGACUGUUACUUUGAAAAAAUUAGAGUGUUUAAAGCAGGCUAACGCUUGAAUACAUUAGCAUGGAAUAAUGAAAUAGGACGUUCGAUCCUAUUUUGUUGGUUUCUAGGAUUGACGUAAUGAUUAAUAGGGAUAGUUGGGGGCAUUAGUAUUCAAUUGUCAGAGGUGAAAUUCUUGGAUUUAUUGAAGACUAACUACUGCGAAAGCAUUUGCCAAGGAUGUUUUCAUUAAUCAAGAACGAAAGUUAGGGGAUCGAAGACGAUCAGAUACCGUCGUAGUCUUAACCAUAAACUAUGCCGACUAGGGAUCGGAUGAUGUUAAUUUUUUAAUGACUCAUUCGGCGCCUUA